Molecule: ribosomal RNA, 253 nt
Filed under: uncultured bacterium
Lineage: Bacteria
Description: partial 16S ribosomal RNA
Rfam family: Bacterial small subunit ribosomal RNA
Source: RNAcentral
UACGUAGGGGGCAAGCGUUAUCCGGAUUUACUGGGUGUAAAGGGAGCGUAGACGGCCAGACAAGUCUGAAGUGAAAAUCCAGCGCUUAACGUUGGAAGUGCUUUGGAAACUGCCGGGCUGGAGUGCAGGAGGGGCAGGCGGAAUUCCUAGUGUAGCGGUGAAAUGCGUAGAUAUUAGGAGGAACACCAGUGGCGAAGACGGCCUGCUGGACUGCAACUGACGUUGAGGCGCGAAAGCGUGGGGAGCAAACAGG